CAGCCGCCACGGGAAUACGUAGGUGGCAAGCGUUGUCCGGAAUUAUUGGGCGUAAAGGGCUCGCAGGCGGUUUCUUAAGUCUGAUGUGAAAGCCCCCGGCUCAACCGGGGAGGGUCAUUGGAAACUGGGAAACUUGAGUGCAGAAGAGGAGAGUGGAAUUCCACGUGCAGCGGUGAAAUGCGUAGAGAUGUGGAGGAACACCAGUGGCGAAGGCGACUCUCUGGUCUGUAACUGACGCUGAGGAGCGAAAGCGUGGGGAGCGAACAGGAUUAGAGACCCCCGUAGUCCCUGUCUCUUAUAC
RNAcentral lists this ribosomal RNA (301 nucleotides) under uncultured bacterium. Its description in RNAcentral is "partial 16S ribosomal RNA". It matches the Rfam family "Bacterial small subunit ribosomal RNA", at positions 509 to 807 of the family's 1533-position model. The record is from RNAcentral.